UAACUCCGUGCCAGCAGCCGCAGGUAAUACGGAGGUGCAAGCGUUACUCGGAAUCACUGGGCGUAAAGGGCGCGUAGGCGGAUUAUCAAGUCUCUUGUGAAAUCUAAUGGCUUAACCAUUAAACUGCUUGGGAAACUGAUAGUCUAGAGUGAGGGAGAGGCAGAUGGAAUUGGUGGUGUAGGGGUAAAAUCCGUAGAUAUCACCAAGAAUACCCAUUGCGAAGGCGAUCUGCUGGAACUCAACUGACGCUAAGGCGCGAAAGCGUGGGGAGCAAACAGGAUUAGAUACCCGGGUAGUCCACGCCCUAAACGAUGUACACAAGUGGUUGGGAUGCUAGUCACCUGAGUAAUGCGGCUAACGCAUUAAGUGUACCGCCUGGGGAGUCCGUUCUGCACGAUUAAAACUCAAAGGAAUAGACGGGGACCCGCACAAGCGGUGCACCAUGUGGUUAAAUUCGAAGAUACACAAAGAACCUUACCAGGCCUUGAGAUCCUAAGACCCUUACGUAGAUAUGACGGUGCAAGCUUGCUAGACCUAAGGGACAGAUGCU
RNAcentral lists this ribosomal RNA (550 nucleotides) under Campylobacter upsaliensis. Its description in RNAcentral is "bacterial SSU rRNA". It matches the Rfam family "Bacterial small subunit ribosomal RNA", at positions 498 to 1042 of the family's 1533-position model. Lineage: Bacteria; Pseudomonadati; Campylobacterota; Epsilonproteobacteria; Campylobacterales; Campylobacteraceae. The record is from RNAcentral.